Molecule: ribosomal RNA, 318 nt
Filed under: uncultured Bacteroidota bacterium
Lineage: Bacteria; Pseudomonadati; Bacteroidota
Description: bacterial SSU rRNA
Rfam family: Bacterial small subunit ribosomal RNA
Source: RNAcentral
GAUGAACGCUAGCGGGAGGCUUAACACAUGCAAGUCGAGGGGUAGGGAAGCAAUUCCCGAGACCGGCGGACGGGUGCGUAACGCGUAUGCAACUUGCCUUAUACAGGGGGAUAGCCCGUGGAAACGCGGAUUAAUACCCCAUAUGUCAUUUGGGUCGCAUGGUCUGGAUGAUAAAGCUGAGGUGGUAUAAGAUGGGCAUGCGUCUGAUUAGCUUGUUGGUAAGGUAACGGCUUACCAAGGCGACGAUCAGUAGGGGUUCUGAGAGGAUAAUCCCCCACACUGGUACUGAGACACGGACCAGACUCCUACGGGAGGCUG